RNAcentral lists this non-coding RNA (244 nucleotides) under Marininema halotolerans. RNAcentral's name for it is "T-box sequence". It matches the Rfam family "T-box leader". Rfam says of the family: Uncharged tRNA acts as the effector for transcription antitermination of genes in the T-box leader family. T-boxes are found upstream of many aminoacyl-tRNA synthetase genes and some amino acid biosynthetic genes usually in Gram-positive bacteria. The anticodon of a specific tRNA base pairs to a specifier sequence within the T-box motif, and the NCCA acceptor tail of the tRNA base pairs to a conserved bulge in the T-box antiterminator hairpin. Lineage: Bacteria; Bacillati; Bacillota; Bacilli; Caryophanales; Thermoactinomycetaceae. The record is from RNAcentral.
UAUCGAGCGAUGACUAGGAGAGUAGGUAAGGAGUAGGAUGGUUGAGCGAGCCAGGGUUGGUGAAAGCCUGGUCCAUCAUCCUUGCUGAAGAUCACCUAGGAGCUGCCCCCUGAACGAAGAAGAACAGUUUAUGUAGGGUGGGCCGAACUCAUUCACGUUACGAAUGCAUGAGCGAGUCUGAAGCAACGGUGGUUGUAUUCAGAUGUUAGUAGGGUGGUACCGCGGGUAACUUCUCGUCCCUAAG